GAUGAACGCUGGCGGCGUGCCUAAUACAUGCAAGUCGAGCGAACAGACGAGGAGCUUGCUCCUCUGACGUUAGCGGCGGACGGGUGAGUAACACGUGGAUAACCUACCUAUAAGACUGGGAUAACUUCGGGAAACCGGAGCUAAUACCGGAUAAUAUAUUGAACCGCAUGGUUCAAUAGUGAAAGACGGUUUUGCUGUUACUUAUAGAUGGAUCCGCGCCGCAUUAGCUAGUUGGUAAGGUAACGGCUUACCAAGGCAACGACGCGUAGCCGACCUGAGAGGGUGAUCGGCCACACUGGAACUGAGACACGGUCCAGACUCCUACGGGAGGCAGCAGUAGGGAAUCUUCCGCAAAGGGCGAAAGCCUGACGGAGCAACGCCGCGUGAGUGAUGAAGGUCUUCGGAUCGUAAAACUCUGUUAUUAGGGAAGAACAAAUGUGUAAGUAACUAUGCACGUCUUGACGGUACCUAAUCAGAAAGCCACGGCUAACUACGUG
Molecule: ribosomal RNA, 497 nt
Filed under: uncultured bacterium
Lineage: Bacteria
Description: partial 16S ribosomal RNA
Rfam family: Bacterial small subunit ribosomal RNA
Source: RNAcentral